GCAAUUACAAAAACCGCCAAUCAAAUCCAAAUCACUGUUGUUGCAAGCAUUUUUGCAAUAUUUCGGUUGCACUAACUAAGUUUAUGCCGAUAGUCUACACUGACUGACCAUUUCUUUGGGGGGGCCAAACAACAACGGUCAAAGCCCAUGACAACACUCGAUAGACGACCAAUAUGCACCCCAAGUUGCCCGACAAGACGGACGAUACUACUCGCACAUCGAUCACGCUUUAGGCUAUUCAAUUUUUUGUAAGUCCCGAGAAAUCUGAUUUUACCUUCCAAGUGAGAAGUUUCAUGCCGCUCCUUAUUCUUGGUGGAGGGGGCGGGCGAUGGCACCUCCUGGGACAUUGGACGCACCGAGACCAGGAUCCGAGAGGCGGAAGGGCGGGCUCCUGGGAGGCUCAACAAAGCAGAAGACCGGCUUGUGGCACGAACCAAGCUGAGCAUUGUCCGAUGAGCAAAGGCCAU
Tigriopus californicus is the source of this 467-nucleotide long non-coding RNA. RefSeq lists it as uncharacterized. The record is from RefSeq and is a predicted model, not a curated record. Lineage: Eukaryota; Metazoa; Arthropoda; Copepoda; Harpacticoida; Harpacticidae. The transcript is spliced from 2 exons.